Molecule: ribosomal RNA, 301 nt
Filed under: uncultured bacterium
Lineage: Bacteria
Description: partial 16S ribosomal RNA
Rfam family: Bacterial small subunit ribosomal RNA
Source: RNAcentral
CAGUAGCCGCGGUAACACAGAGGGUGCGAGCGUUAAUCGGAUUUACUGGGCGUAAAGCGUGCGUAGGCGGCUUCUUAAGUCGGAUGUGAAAUCCCUGAGCUUAACUUAGGAAUUGCAUUCGAUACUGGGAAGCUAGAGUAUGGGAGAGGAUGGUAGAAUUCCAGGUGUAGCGGUGAAAUGCGUAGAGAUCUGGAGGAAUACCGAUGGCGAAGGCAGCCAUCUGGCCUAAUACUGACGCUGAGGUACGAAAGCAUGGGGAGCAAACAGGAUUAGAUACCCGUGUAGUCCCUGUCUCUUAUAC